Non-coding RNA from Vicia faba (fava bean), 246 nucleotides. The record is from the annotation of a GenBank genome assembly. NCBI's taxonomy places the organism in Eukaryota, Viridiplantae, Streptophyta, Magnoliopsida, Fabales, Fabaceae.
AUGAAGUUUUUCGGUGAACAUAAGGAGUUUCUGGAGAGGUCAGGCGAUUUCCAGCAAAGGUUUUCCGGUUCAGACAUGAUAUGGAAAAUAUGGAGAAGCAAACAUGUCAAAGCUUGGAUUUUGGCACGGAGGAUUAAACUUGUUGUACCCCAAAAUUUUCCCUCUCCUUUUACUCAAUACAUGCCCAUUGAGAUCCUCAAUUUGCUCAGGGUUGCCCAAGAGUUCACCAGACAAACUCUCUCCUAA